AACUUGUUCCUCGAGUCGUUGAUUUCACACUGCCGAGAAAAGCCUCUAGCUAGAAUAACGGUGCCCGUACCGCAAACCGACACAGGUAGUCAAGAUGAGAAUUCUAAGGUGAGCGAGCGAACUCUCGUUAAGGAACUCGGCAAAAUGACCCCGUAACUUCGGGAGAAGGGGUGCUCUUUGAGGUUCACGCUUCGAAGAGCCGCAGUGAAUAGGCCCAAGCGACUGUUUAUCAAAAACACAGGUCUCUGCUAAACCGUAAGGUGACGUAUAGGGGCUGACGCCUGCCCGGUGCUGGAAGGUUAAGAGGAGUGGUUAGCGCAAGCGAAGCUACGAAUCGAAGCCCCAGUAAACGGCGGCCGUAACUAUAACGGUCCUAAGGUAGCGAAAUUCCUUGUCGGGUAAGUUCCGACCCGCACGAAAGGCGUAACGAUUUGGGCACUGUCUCAACGAGAGACUCGGUGAAAUCAUAGUACCGGUGAAGAUGCCGGUUACCCGCGACAGGACGGAAAGACCCCGUGGAGCUUUACUGUAGCCUGAUAUUGAAAUUCGGUACAGUUUGUACAGGAUAGGUAGGAGCCUUAGAAGCGUGAGCGCUAGCUUACGUGGAGGCAUUGGUGGGAUACUACCCUAAUUGUAUUGGAUUUCUAACCCGCAGCACUUAUCGUGCUGGGAGACAGUGUCAGGCGGGCAGUUUGACUGGGGCGGUCGCCUCCUAAAGAGUAACGGAGGCGCUCAAAGGUUCCCUCAGAAUGGUUGGAAAUCAUUCAUAGAGUGUAAAGGCAUAAGGGAGCUUGACUGCGAGACCUACAAGUCGAGCAGGGUCGAAAGACGGACUUAGUGAUCCGGUGGUUCCGCAUGGAAGGGCCAUCGCUCAACGGAUAAAAGCUACCCCGGGGAUAACAGGCUUAUCUCCCCCAAGAGUUCACAUCGACGGGGAGGUUUGGCACCUCGAUGUCGGCUCAUCGCAUCCUGGGGCUGUAGUCGGUCCCAAGGGUUGGGCUGUUCGCCCAUUAAAGCGGUACGCGAGCUGGGUUCAGAACGUCGUGAGACAGUUCGGUCCCUAUCCGUCGUGGGCGUAGGAAAUUUGAGAGGAGCUGUCCUUAGUACGAGAGGACCGGGAUGGACAUACCUCUGGUGUACCAGUUGUCGUGCCAACGGCAUAGCUGGGUAGCUAUGUAUGGACGGGAUAAGUGCUGAAAGCAUCUAAGCAUGAAGCCCCCCUCGAGAUGAGAUUUCCCAACUUCGGUUAUAAG
RNAcentral lists this ribosomal RNA (1253 nucleotides) under Staphylococcus pseudintermedius. RNAcentral's name for it is "partial 23S ribosomal RNA". It matches the Rfam family "Bacterial large subunit ribosomal RNA", at positions 1576 to 2832 of the family's 2925-position model. Lineage: Bacteria; Bacillati; Bacillota; Bacilli; Caryophanales; Staphylococcaceae. The record is from RNAcentral.